UACGGUGUAGCUCAGUGGUAAAGUGCUUGCCUAGCAUGCAUGAAGCCUACAUUCAAUCUUCAGCACCAUGA
Molecule: transfer RNA, 71 nt
Filed under: Marmota monax (woodchuck)
Lineage: Eukaryota; Metazoa; Chordata; Mammalia; Rodentia; Sciuridae
Rfam family: tRNA
About the family: Transfer RNA (tRNA) molecules are approximately 80 nucleotides in length. Their secondary structure includes four short double-helical elements and three loops (D, anti-codon, and T loops).
Source: Rfam by way of RNAcentral